AUUUAGGUAGCUUAUUUAGAGCAUAGCAUUGAAGUUGCUAGGGUGAUUAUGUAUCUCUAAAUA
This 63-nucleotide transfer RNA is filed under the name Cryphalus abietis. Its description in RNAcentral is "tRNA-Phe". RNAcentral also lists the same sequence under 1 other name. The record is from RNAcentral. Lineage: Eukaryota; Metazoa; Arthropoda; Insecta; Coleoptera; Curculionidae.